UCGAACGAUGAAGCCCAGCUUGCUGGGUGGAUUAGUGGCGAACGGGUGAGUAACACGUGAGUAACCUGCCCCCGACUCUGGGAUAAGCCCGGGAAACUGGGUCUAAUACCGGAUAUUACCUCUUGCCGCAUGGCAGGUGGUGGAAAGAUUUAUCGGUGGGGGAUGGACUCGCGGCCUAUCAGCUUGUUGGUGAGGUAAUGGCUCACCAAGGCGACGACGGGUAGCCGGCCUGAGAGGGUGACCGGCCACACUGGGACUGAGACACGGCCCAGACUCCUACGGGAGGCAGCAGUGGGGAAUAUUGCACAAUGGGCGAAAGCCUGAUGCAGCGACGCCGCGUGAGGGAUGACGGCCUUCGGGUUGUAAACCUCUUUCAGUAGGGAAGAAGCGAAAGUGACGGUACCUGCAGAAGAAGCGCCGGCUAACUACGUGCCAGCAGCCGCGGUAAUACGUAGGGCGCAAGCGUUAUCCGGAUUUAUUGGGCGUAAAGAGCUCGUAGGCGGUUUGUCGCGUCUGCCGUGAAAGUCCGAGGCUCAACCUCGGAUCUGCGGUGGGUACGGGCAGACUAGAGUGAUGUAGGGGAGACUGGAAUUCCUGGUGUAGCGGUGAAAUGCGCAGAUAUCAGGAGGAACACCGAUGGCGAAGGCAGGUCUCUGGGCAUUUACUGACGCUGAGGAGCGAAAGCAUGGGGAGCGAACAGGAUUAGAUACCCUGGUAGUCCAUGCCGUAACGUUGGGCACUAGGUGUGGGGGACAUUCCACGUUUUCCGCGCCGUAGCUAACGCAUUAAGUGCCCCGCCUGGGGGAGUACGGCGCAAGGCUAAACUCAAAGGAAUUGRMSGGGGGGCCSCACAGCGGCGGARCAUGSGGAUWAUUUCGAUGCACGCGAGACCUUACCAGCUUGACAUGGUGGCAGACCGCCUYCUCUAGA
Molecule: ribosomal RNA, 930 nt
Filed under: Glutamicibacter arilaitensis
Lineage: Bacteria; Bacillati; Actinomycetota; Actinomycetes; Micrococcales; Micrococcaceae
Description: bacterial SSU rRNA
Rfam family: Bacterial small subunit ribosomal RNA
Source: RNAcentral